Molecule: ribosomal RNA, 460 nt
Filed under: uncultured bacterium
Lineage: Bacteria
Description: partial 16S ribosomal RNA
Rfam family: Bacterial small subunit ribosomal RNA
Source: RNAcentral
CCUACGGGAGGCAGCAGUGAGGAAUAUUGGUCAAUGGACGAAAGUCUGAACCAGCCAAGCCGCGUGAAGGAAGACUGCCCUAUGGGUUGUAAACUGCUUUUGUAAAAGGAUAAAACUGAAUACGUGUAUCCUGCUGCAAGUACUGUACGAAUAAGGAUCGGCUAACUCCGUGCCAGCAGCCGCGGUAAUACGGAGGAUCCGAGCGUUAUCCGGAUUUAUUGGGUUUAAAGGGUGCGUAGAUGGGUUGUUAAGUUAGUGGUGAAAGUUUGCGGCUCAACCGUGGAAUUGCCUUUAAUACUGGUAGUCUUGAGUGCAGUUGCGGUAGGCGGAAUGCAUGGUGUAGCGGUGAAAUGCUUAGAUAUCACACAGAACCCCGAUUGCGAAGGCAGCUUACUAAUCUGUAACUGACGUUGAGGCACGAAAGUGUGGGGAGCAAACAGGAUUAGAUACCCUUGUAGUC